GCUGGGUGUGGUGGCUCAUGCCUGUAAUCCCAGCACAUUGGGAGGCAGAGGCAGGUGGAUCACCUGAGGUCAGGAGUUUGAGACCAGCCUGGCCAACAUGGUGAAACCCUGUCUCUA
RNAcentral lists this non-coding RNA (117 nucleotides) under Pan paniscus (pygmy chimpanzee). The record is from Rfam by way of RNAcentral. Lineage: Eukaryota; Metazoa; Chordata; Mammalia; Primates; Hominidae. RNAcentral also lists the same sequence under 1 other name.